CAGCACCUCAAGUGGUCAGGAUGAUUAUUGGGCCUAAAGCAUCCGUAGCAGGCGCUGUAAGUUUUCGGUUAAAUCUGUACGCUCAACGUACAGGCUGCCGGGAAUACUGCAGCGCUAGGGAGUGGGAGAGGUAGACGGUACUCGGUAGGAAGGGGUAAAAUCCUUUGAUCUAUUGAUGACCACCUGUGGCGAAGGCGGUCUACCAGAACACGUCCGACGGUGAGGGAUGAAAGCUGGGGGAGCAAACCGGAUUAGAUACCCGAGUAGUCC
Molecule: ribosomal RNA, 270 nt
Filed under: uncultured archaeon
Lineage: Archaea
Description: partial 16S ribosomal RNA
Rfam family: Archaeal small subunit ribosomal RNA
Source: RNAcentral